GUCAAGGUGGUGGAGUGGUUAACACGUUCGCCUGCUAUAGUCUGACUCAAAACAGGUCAGCACAAGCAUUAGCGGAUGCCCUUUGGGCGCGCAGGUUCGAAUCCUGUCCUUGACG
Kalaharituber pfeilii is the source of this 115-nucleotide non-coding RNA. NCBI's taxonomy places the organism in Eukaryota, Fungi, Ascomycota, Pezizomycetes, Pezizales, Pezizaceae. The record is from the annotation of a GenBank genome assembly.